CUCGUUUCAGAUACUUUGACCUCCUUUCCUUGUGUGUCUCCCACACCUGUGAUUGUCGACCCCGCCCCUGAUUGUUUCCACCUGUUCCCCAUUACCUGGUGUAUUUAUUGUCCUCGUCUCCCUUGUCCUGUGCCAGUUCGUUUCGUUUCCUGUGACUAACCACAAGUGUAUCAUGCCAGGUCAAAUCUCAAGCAGAGCUUUGAGCCACGUCUUGUUUUCUGAGAAUUUAGUUAUCUAUGCUCCUAGUGUUUUUUCCUCAUUGAAGUGAUUUUGUUUUGUUAGUGUUUUUCCUCGUUAAGAGUCAUUUCGUUUUUUGACCUCUGUAGAAGAGCUUUGGUUUGAAAUAAACCUUUUUUGUUAAAACCUUUGAAUCAAUUGCUCAACAAGUCCAAAUAAAAAGGAGUCUGACACUCUGGCAGCACACAUCUGAAGAAUCAACACCGCAGCGGGACAAUAUAAGGUGAAGCGUUGAAGUGUUAAUGUGGAGGCACCUCCAAGACGUGUCCAGGUCCUGUGGAGACUUGUUUGAAGCAAGUCUGUGGCAGCAUCGCUCUUAACCUGUUACGCACCAUCCCCCCGGUUAACCCUGGAACCCGUAAGUAAAGGCUUCAUUGACGCUGGAUGGAUUCAGUUGCUCAACAAGUCCUAAACUUGCAGCCUGGCAGCACAGAUCAGAAGAAUCAACAACGCAGUGGGACAAUACAAGAGUUGUGUACAGACUGGUGAAAACAUGAAGACUGUGGUUCUCGCUCUCAUGGUGUUGGUGGUGGUCAGCCAGGG
Trematomus bernacchii (emerald rockcod) is the source of this 780-nucleotide long non-coding RNA. RefSeq lists it as uncharacterized. Lineage: Eukaryota; Metazoa; Chordata; Actinopteri; Perciformes; Nototheniidae. The record is from RefSeq and is a predicted model, not a curated record. The transcript is spliced from 4 exons.